Molecule: ribosomal RNA, 293 nt
Filed under: uncultured bacterium
Lineage: Bacteria
Description: partial 16S ribosomal RNA
Rfam family: Archaeal small subunit ribosomal RNA
Source: RNAcentral
GUGCCAGCCGCCGCGGUAAUACCGGCAGCCCGAGUGAUGGCCGAUCUUAUUGGGCCUAAAGCGUCCGUAGCUGGCUGCGCAAGUCCGUCGGGAAAUCCACUCGCCCAACGAGUGGGCGUCCGACGGAAACUGCACAGCUUGGGACCGGAAGGCUCGAAGGGUACGUUCGGGGUAGGAGUGAAAUCCCAUAAUCUCGCACGGACCACCGAUGGCGAAACCACCUCAGGAGAACGGAUCCGACAGUGAGGGACGAAAGCUAAGAUCGCGAACCGGAUUAGAAACCCGUGUAGUCC